RNAcentral lists this transfer RNA (39 nucleotides) under Ruditapes philippinarum (Manila clam). Its description in RNAcentral is "tRNA-Met". Lineage: Eukaryota; Metazoa; Mollusca; Bivalvia; Venerida; Veneridae. The record is from RNAcentral.
AUAAAGGUAAACUAAUAAAGUUGUUUGGUUCAUACCCGA